GGGCUAAGCCAAGUUGGCCGUUUUGAUAUAACAAUUGAUUAAAUACAAUCAUAAUGUGACGUUCUCAGGAUUUGAAAUUUAUAUAUAGUAUAAUAAGACUAAAUCUUUUUAUUCGAUUAUACCAUUUUGGGCUAUGGUUGAAUUCAUGAUAUUAAGAGGAUUAAGUAUGUUAGGGUUAAAGUAGUUUUAGGAUUUGUGACUCCUUUUUUGAAGCAGGACAUCACAAUUGGUAUCGGAGCCAAUCAUUAAUCGGAAGUAUGAGAUGGAUCUUGGCUGAGCUCAGAUCAUAUAGCGGGAAGAAUAUUGCUCUCCAAUUGACGACUGUUGUGGGUAGAGCACAGAUUCCGCAAGAUGGCUAGUUAAGGCUAGCAAUACGAGUCUCAAAUCGUCUGUUGCUUGUGAGUGUACUUGAGCCUUGCAAGGACGUCAGAACUUAAAAGGAAGGAAUAUGAUACUUUCAAAUUUUGAAAUAGUCAUGUGUAUAUAUAUGGCAGUGUUUGGAUUGGGGAUAAGGGGAGGGAUAACCCCUUAUCCCCCUCUUUAUACCCAAAUGCAAAUUUUUUACCCCAGAAUAGUAGUAGUUCUAGGAUUUCUGAAAUAAGCUGGUAUAACUAUCUCCACUAACACCUCUAUUUUUUAUAUAUAACUAUCCAUUAUUUUUCUUAUUCCAUAUUAUCUAUCCAAACACUAUUUUUCUUAUCCCCGGGAACAACCCAAUUUUCAUCCAAACGCUAUUUUGCUUAUUUCCAUACUUGUACCUAUCCCUGUAAUAGCUAGUUCUUGCUUAUACCCGAACCAAACGGGAUAAUAUAUGAUAUGACCAAACUUUUUAACCUGGUUAUAGCAUUUGGGAUGGUGGCUAGAUCUAAAAACUUAAUAGGGUUAAAUGUGGUAGAACUAGAAUAGUUUUAGAAUAGAUGACCCCCCAGAAAGCAGAGUGUGACACAUGAAUUGUUCGUCUUUAUCCUAAUUAAACAUUAAUAACAUCGACAUUAUGGUAAACAAAAUUCCCAUUUCCAUUAGCUGCAUUUUCUUCUUCUACUUUUAGCUACAGUUAUUUUUUGCAGAAUGUUUAUCGAUGCAAAAGUUUGGAUCCAACUGUGGUAUAAAAUAGAUUUAAGAUUU
Molecule: long non-coding RNA, 1125 nt
Filed under: Ananas comosus (pineapple)
Lineage: Eukaryota; Viridiplantae; Streptophyta; Magnoliopsida; Poales; Bromeliaceae
Description: long non-coding RNA (ACOM_LNC009760)
Source: RNAcentral